GAAAUGCGAUAAGUAAUGUGAAUUGCAGAAUUCAGUGAAUCAUCGAAUCUUUGAACGCACCUUGCGCUCCUUGGUAUUCCUUGGAGCAUGCCUGUUUGAGUAUCAUGAAAUCUUCAAAGUAAAUCUUUUGUUAACUCAAUUGGUUUCUACUUUGGUAUUGGAGGUCUUUGCAGCUUCACACCUUCUCCUCUUUGUUCAUUAGCUGGAUCUCAGUGUUAUGCUUGGUUCCACUCGGCGUGAUAAGUUAUCUAUCGCUGAGGACACUGUAAAAGGUGGCCAAGGUAAAUGCAGAUGAACCGCUUCUAAUAGUCCAUUGACUUGGACAAUACUUUUAUGAUCUGAUCUCAAAUCAGGUAUGACUACCCGCUGAACUUAAGC
Molecule: unclassified non-coding RNA, 378 nt
Filed under: plant metagenome
Description: partial contains 5.8S ribosomal RNA, internal transcribed spacer 2, and large subunit ribosomal RNA
Rfam family: 5.8S ribosomal RNA (bases 1-105)
Source: RNAcentral